Gadus macrocephalus (Pacific cod) is the source of this 1008-nucleotide long non-coding RNA. RefSeq lists it as uncharacterized. The record is from RefSeq and is a predicted model, not a curated record. The transcript is spliced from 2 exons. NCBI's taxonomy places the organism in Eukaryota, Metazoa, Chordata, Actinopteri, Gadiformes, Gadidae.
CCUGUAAACCCGCAGGCCUCGGCCAAUAGGAAGGUGCUCCAGGACAUGAGGAAGAAGAGGGCGGUCUCCAGCAGGGGGAAGCAGUGCAGCUUGGUGAACUUGGAUAUGAGGGCGGUGACAACCCCUGUGACGGCACCCAUGGCGAAGGAUCCGCUGAAGAUUCCGAGGAACACGCCCACCGACUUGAAGAACGCCGCCGCAUCGAACAUGUGGGUGUUUUCUCCACUGGGCUGGUAGGCCAUGAUGGACCUGAAACCAAACAUCUGCUUUUCACCGUUUAUCCUUUUCACUGUUUAAUGUUUAGUACAAUAUGAAGUUCCACGAGUUUCAAUAACAAUGCUAAGGAAAUGAAAAAGCAUUCAAUGGUGUUUCUGUUUGUAGAUAAAUAUAUUGUUGCACAUUUCCCCUUUUCCAGGCAGAUGUGUGGAUCCGACGAUUCACAUCAGUGUAGAGUUUCAACAUGUGUUGAAUAGCAGAAGUUCCUGGAAACGGCGGUGCUCAUUAGCUGAGGCCAGAUGUGGGAACAACAAACGGAAAAGGGGGAACAGGACUCACGAGGAGAGAACAAUGGCCACGGCGUCGUUCAUGACACUCUCUCCAAACAGGAGAGCGUAGAGGUCCACGUCCACGUGGAGCUCAGUGAAGAUGGCCAGCACCGUCACUGCUCGCACCGACACACGGAGAGACAGAUGGACACAGGGUUACACAGGGAGGCGGAGAAAGGAAAGGACAGACAGACGAACAGGGAGAGGGAGCGAAACAGGCACGUAGGGAACCGAAAGAGGAUUGGAUAGUCAGACGGACAGAGACGGGUAAAGAGAGAGACAGCCAGGGUAACCGACGAGACAGAGAGACACGACAGUAAUUAUGGCGCAGGUAGGGGUCAAACAUUGUGUGUGUGUGUGUGUGUGUGUGUGUGUGUGUGUGUGUGUGUGUGUGUGUGUGUGUGUGUGUGUGUGUGUGUGUGUGUGUGUGUGUGUGUGUGUGUGUGUGUUUGUGUGUGUGUGU